RNAcentral lists this ribosomal RNA (492 nucleotides) under uncultured bacterium. RNAcentral's name for it is "partial 16S ribosomal RNA". It matches the Rfam family "Bacterial small subunit ribosomal RNA", at positions 29 to 507 of the family's 1533-position model. The record is from RNAcentral.
AGUGAACGCUGGCGGUAGGCCUAACACAUGCAAGUCGAACGGCAGCACAGUAAGAGCUUGCUCUUACGGGUGGCGAGUGGCGGACGGGUGCGGAAUACAUCGGAAUCUACUUUUUCGUGGGGGAUAACGUAGGGAAACUUACGCUAAUACCGCAUACGACCUACGGGUGAAAGCAGGGGAUCUUCGGACCUUGCGCGAUUGAAUGAGCCGAUGUCGGAUUAGCUAGUUGGCGGGGUAAAGGCCCACCAAGGCGACGAUCCGUAGCUGGUCUGAGAGGAUGAUCAGCCACACGGGAACUGAGACACGGUCCAGACUCCUACGGGAGGCAGCAGUGGGGAAUAUUGGACAAUGGGCGCAAGCCUGAUCCAGCCAUACCGCGUGGGUGAAGAAGGCCUUCGGGUUGUAAAGCCCUUUUGUUGGGAAAGAAAAGCAGCAGGUUAAUACCCCGCUGUUCUGACGGUACCCAAAGAAUAAGCACCGGCUAACUUCGUG